CAUUCCCGGCUGGACGUCGGCCCCAGCUUCCGAGGCCUGCUUCACCUUCAGCACUUUGUAUCUGACACUUUGCUUCUUACACCAUCCUUUUUAACAACCUUGAGUUCUGUGAAUAUCGUUUUGCGCCUCAGGUUGCCAGGAAGGACUAAUCUUAGUUCACCGACAGUUAGUGGCGGUGAGUUCUGUUGAACAGCUGUUACAAGGCAUACUAAUUU
RNAcentral lists this long non-coding RNA (215 nucleotides) under Volvox carteri. Its description in RNAcentral is "long non-coding RNA (VCAR_LNC002874)". The record is from RNAcentral. Lineage: Eukaryota; Viridiplantae; Chlorophyta; Chlorophyceae; Chlamydomonadales; Volvocaceae.